RNAcentral lists this ribosomal RNA (497 nucleotides) under uncultured bacterium. RNAcentral describes it as "partial 16S ribosomal RNA". It matches the Rfam family "Bacterial small subunit ribosomal RNA", at positions 28 to 507 of the family's 1533-position model. The record is from RNAcentral.
GAUGAACGCUGGCGGCGUGCCUAAUACAUGCAAGUCGAGCGAACAGACGAGGAGCUUGCUCCUCUGACGUUAGCGGCGGACGGGUGAGUAACACGUGGAUAACCUACCUAUAAGACUGGGAUAACUGCGGGAAACCGGAGCUAAUACCGGAUAAUAUAUUGAACCGCAUGGUUCAAUAGUGAAAGACGGUUUUGCUGUCACUUAUAGAUGGAUCCGCGCCGCAUUAGCUAGUUGGUAAGGUAACGGCUUACCAAGGCAACGAUGCGUAGCCGACCUGAGAGGGUGAUCGGCCACACUGGAACUGAGACACGGUCCAGACUCCUACGGGAGGCAGCAGUAGGGAAUCUUCCGCAAUGGGCGAAAUCCUGACGGAGCAACGCCGCGUGAGUGAUGAAGGUCUUCGGAUCGUAAAACUCUGUUAUUAGGGAAGAACAAAUGUGUAAGUAACUAUGCACGUCUUGACGGUACCUAAUCAGAAAGCCACGGCUAACUACGUG